This 208-nucleotide RNase P RNA is filed under the name Clostridiaceae bacterium. RNAcentral's name for it is "partial RNase P RNA component class A". It matches the Rfam family "Bacterial RNase P class A", at positions 140 to 367 of the family's 367-position model. From Rfam's summary of the family: Ribonuclease P (RNase P) is a ubiquitous endoribonuclease, found in archaea, bacteria and eukarya as well as chloroplasts and mitochondria. Its best characterised activity is the generation of mature 5'-ends of tRNAs by cleaving the 5'-leader elements of precursor-tRNAs. Lineage: Bacteria; Bacillati; Bacillota; Clostridia; Eubacteriales; Clostridiaceae. The record is from RNAcentral.
ACUGCCGAGUAAGGGUGGAAAGGUGAGGUAAGAGCUCACCAGCGGCAUGGCGACUUGCCGGUCUGUGUAACCCCCCCCCGGAGCAACCCCGCAGAGGGACAUAUGGUGCCCCGCCAGUCCCGGGCAGGUGGCUCGAGCCAUGCAGCAAUGCAUGGCCCAGAUAGAUGAUUAUCCACGACAGAACCCGGCUUACAGACUUACUCAUCAG